GGAAUAUUGCGCAAUGGAGGAAACUCUGACGCAGUGACGCCGCGUAUAGGACGAAGGUCUUCGGAUUGUAAACUAUUGUCGUUAGGGAAGAGAAAGGACAGUACCUAAGGAGGAAGCUCCGGCUAACUACGUGCCAGCAGCCGCGGUAAUACGUAGGGAGCGAGCGUUAUCCGGAUUUAUUGGGUGUAAAGGGUGCGUAGACGGGAAAAUAAGUUAGUUGUGAAAUCCCCAGGCUUAACUUGGGAACUGCAACUAAAACUGUUUUUCUUGAGUGUUGGAGAGGAAAGCGGAAUUCCUAGUGUAGCGGUGAAAUGCGUAGAUAUUAGGAGGAACACCAGUGGCGAAGGCGGCUUUCUGGACAAUAACUGACGUUGAGGCACGAAAGUGUGGGGAGCAAACA
RNAcentral lists this ribosomal RNA (400 nucleotides) under uncultured bacterium. RNAcentral's name for it is "bacterial SSU rRNA". It matches the Rfam family "Bacterial small subunit ribosomal RNA", at positions 358 to 774 of the family's 1533-position model. The record is from RNAcentral.